RNAcentral lists this long non-coding RNA (746 nucleotides) under Ananas comosus (pineapple). RNAcentral describes it as "long non-coding RNA (ACOM_LNC028661)". Lineage: Eukaryota; Viridiplantae; Streptophyta; Magnoliopsida; Poales; Bromeliaceae. The record is from RNAcentral.
AAUCUCUUCCACUUUCCUCCACCAAAUAUCUCCUAACUACAUCAAUGUAUAUACAUAUACAUAUAUGAGUUCGGCUACUAUACUCUUAUGAGUAUAGACUAUUUUAUAUUCAUAAAUAUUCAGCUGUUAGAUCUAUCUCUUUGAUCAUUUUUCAUCCGAUAAAUAAUGCUAUCCAACCGACCACUCACUCAACUCUAGAAAAUCAUUAUCAUUCUAACCUCAUAUCCCUUCAUCGAAUGGCAGAAAACUUAUGAAUAUAAAAGGUCUAUACUCAUAAGAGUGUAAUAAUUCUAGCCUACAUAUUCAUACAUAUAUACACACACAUGUAUUUAUGUGUUUUUAUAUAUAUACAUAUUCAUUUUAGAUAGAAAGAUUGAGAUUAAAUGUAUAUUAAUUAGUAUGCUUGGUAAGAAAAGAUCAUGUCGGAUUAUGUCAGCAAGCAUCAUAAUCGAGAUGCGUGCUUGCCAAUGUGAUUUAUCAUGAUUCCAACUUACUAAUCUCAACAAAAACUGAUGCAUCAAAAAGACAAUAUAUACUCAUUAUUAUGUGUUUUCGGAAGUACUCAAGCAAAACUCUCUCUCCACGCACACUUGGGAGUGUUAUGUAUAUAUAAACGUACAUGCUUUUGUAAAAGUUAUUUAUAUACUUGAACGAUCAAAAGAGUUUAUAAUUUUUUCUACGUGUAGCAGAAAACAUGCAGAAUAACGAUUUUAAGAAUAAAUAUAUACAGUAUUAUUUCUUUUUUC